UACGUAGGCAGCGAGCGUUGUUCGGAGUUACUGGGCGUAAAGCGUGCGUAGGCGGUUUUGUAAGUUUGGUGUGAAAUCUCCCGGCUCAACUGGGAGGGUGCGCCGAAAACUGCAAGGCUGGAGUGUGGGAGAGGUAGGCGGAAUUCCUGGUGUAGCGGUGAAAUGCGUAGAUAUCAGGAAGAACAUCGGUGGCGAAGGCGCUCUGCUGGACCAUAACUGACACUCAGGGACGAAAGCUAGGGGAGCGAAUGGG
Molecule: ribosomal RNA, 253 nt
Filed under: uncultured bacterium
Lineage: Bacteria
Description: partial 16S ribosomal RNA
Rfam family: Bacterial small subunit ribosomal RNA
Source: RNAcentral